ACCCUGCAUUGGCAGGCGGACUCUCAACCACUGUGCCACCAGGGAAGUCCCUAAAGAGAGUUUUAAAAUUAAUUUUCAAAACAGGUAACACAUGCACGUUUCAAUAUUCAAGAGUAACAAAAGGGGCUGCAAAGAAAAUCUCCCUAGGGAAUUCCCUGGUGGUCCAGUGGUUAGGACUCUGCGCUUUCACUGCCGAGGGCCCAGAUUCAAUCCCUGGUUGGGGAACUAAGACCCCACAAGCCACGCAGCAAAGCCAAAAGGAAAAAAGAAAAUCUCCCCUCACACCCAGGUCUCCUGCCAUCCUGAUCCCCCCCACGCCGGGUAAACAAAAUGAUCAGUUUUGUGUGUCCUUCGGAGCGAUCUGAUGCAUGUAUACACAAAUAUGUAUACAUUUUUAUGUGUAUAUGUAUUCCCCCCUUUGUUAUGCUUUGAUUUUUUAUUUAAGACAGCUUAAAGAGUGUUCCAUGUUGGUACCAAAGACGUCCUCAUUCUUUCUUACAGCUGCCUAGUGUUUCAUUCUAUGACUCCACCGUAUCUGACCAGUCACCUACUGAAGGGGCGUUUAUGUUACUUCCAACUAUUGUAAUCACAAACAAAGCUGCAGUGGGAAAUGUUGUGCAUUAUUUUACUGUUGUCUGUAGGAUUAAAUCUCCUGAAGUAGAACGGCUGGGACAGAGUACGUGCUAGAUCCUGGCAGAGCUGCCUCCCAACACGCUGGAGACUGCCUCCCCCUCUCCCCACCCCUGGGCUGGUUUGAAGGGAGCUCAGGUGUAGCCAGGCCAGGAGGAAGGGGGGAGCCAUUCCCAAGGGAAGCCCACGGCAGGAAAACACAGAUGAGGCACGUGGGGACUGUCCUGCGACCUCGGCUGGUAACACAGACCUCUCCCCCGAGUAAGGGUGCAAGCAGAGGGGGCCUCUGCCCACCACAACAGGAAGAGCUGGGGCCUGAGAGUUUGAGGAUUCUGGGCCCAAGUCUGCCACCUCAGCUUGACAGGUGGCCUUCAGCAGGCCACUUUCAUAAUGAUAAUGGCUCUCUCCAGGCACAGUGCUAAGCACUUUGCAUGUGUCACCUCCCGCAGCCUGAAAAGGCUGGAACGUCUGCAGCCUGAGCUCAGAGAGGUUAGGGAACCCACUCAAGGUGGUCCAGCUCUUAAAUGACAGAGCGCGGAUAUGAAGCCAGACUCAACACUGUGUUUCACGGCCUUGAAUUAACCCUCAGCGAGGUAAGGCAGCGAGACCCUGACUAAGCCUCUUCCAGCUCAGAAAGUCACGUGGCCUGUGACUACACAGGGAGGGGUUCAAUCAAAGAGGAGCUAACUGCAGGUGGGGGUGGAGAUAUGGAGCCCCCUUCACAGAGACGGCCAGGUCCAGCCCCACUUCUUGCAGGAAGACCUGAAUGGGAGAGAGAGAGGGAGAGGGAGAGAGGCCCCAGCAGGCGUACACGCAGCAGAGCCCAGCACCGCCCUGCCCGCCUCUGGCCGCCAGUGCACAGGGAUGCGGUGGCCUGGAACGCCCUCUGGUGGCACGCUCCGCAGCCUGGCCUGGGAAGGCUGGGCCCAGGGGAGGAGGGGCCACCUACUUUCCACCACGACCGUCUGUGGGCCCAAGCGGGCCCGCGGCUUCUCCCGGGGGUGGGUACUUCCGUGGAGGGAAGCCAGCUUAAUAAUAGUAACAAUGAGUCGCCCUCAAAAAGGGUCACAAAGAGACUGAUAAAAGGAGGGAAAGGAUUCUUGAAGCCGUGGAGUCAUCAUUAGAGUCAUGGAAAGAUGUCCAAGUCCCCCAAGUGUCCUCCCCACUGUGACCAGGGACAUCCUUGCAUUUGCCUCUGUUGACAUCUUUGCACCUUUUCAGGGCUGUCCUGUUUGCGCCUGCUGCCCCACCACCAUGGGCUGAGCCGUCCCUGCCUAUGAGCCUCACUGAGCACAAGGCCACAGAGCCUGUGAUGAGAUGCAGAGCCAUAGCAAGGACAGGGGCUCUUGAGGCUGUCGAAUUGUUCAUUCGUUUGUCUAUUCGAUAAAUAUUUAUGGAGCUCUGCUAUGUGCCGGCCACAUGGGCCCUGGGGAUGCAGAAAUUAAUGACAGGCAAGGAAUUGAGAUUCUAGGUGAGGCAGGCAAGAAAGAAACAAGGUAAGACGUGUGGUCAAAAGUGCCUUGAAGACUACACAACAGGCGGAGGUGCCGGAGUUUGAGGAGACUGUUUUCAGACGGGGUGGGCAGGAAGGCCUGUCAGGUAAGGGACACCUUAAUGCUGAGGACACAGGACUGGGGAGAGCAGGCAGGGGAAACUUCAGGUAAAAGAUGGGGGCUGGGGACCACAUACGCUUGAAGGUGUGCCAGGGGUUUGGAUUUGAUUCUGGGGGCCGAGGAAGUUACUGGAGUGCUUUGAGCCAGGAUGGCGUGAUCUGACUUGCAAUCUUAGUAGGUCAUUCCAUCUGCUUCUUGGAGCACAAACGAUAGGAAGGGUGAAGGUGGAAGCAGGGAGGCAGCCACAGGGAGACUCCAGGCCUCCGGAUACAGAGGGAUGGUUGCCGAACCAGGGUGGGGAGGGGUCAGGUUCUGAUGAACCUGAGAGGCCGGUUGGACAGGACCGGCUGGUGGGCUGUCUGGUGGGGAGGGGAUGGUGGAGACCAGGCUGGUGCCUCCCCGUCCCCCCACCCUCACCCCUUCCAGCCUGGGGAUGGGGCCACUGAGUCAUCUCCCUCAGGUCACUUAGUGGAGGGGCAAAGGACCCUAGACUCCAUUGCCAGAGGCCCCCAGGGCUGUAGCUUGGUGUGUUCAGAGGCUUGGGACCUGGGGCCAGAGGGGCUUCCAGCCUCAAAGAGCUUUUAUCUCUUCCCCUCCAUCUGCAGUCUCUCUCUUUCUCCUCCCAAUCUCUCUCUCCCUCUCUCUUUCUCCCUCUCUCCCUUCCCUCUCUAGCUCUUGCACACACACACACACACACACACACACACACACACACACACACGCAGUUUACUGCAGCCUUAUGGGAAGGAAGCCUCCAGCAGAGACAAAGGGUCUCCAGGGACAGAGCCAGAGGAGCUGACUGUGGAGUUGUGCAAGGAGGGGAGGCAGCCUCUGCUGCCUUUCACAUUCUACCUCCUGCUCUUGCUGCCUCCACGCCACCCUCUCGGCUCCUGCAGCAUUUCCCCCAAGACCCAGGAUUCUCAGCUGGAGGCAGUUUUGUCUCCUUGGGUCAUUUGGCAAUAUCUGGAAACAUUUUUGGUUAUCAUAAUUGAAGAGGGUCGGCCUCUAGUGGGUGGAGGCCAGGGAUGCUGCUAAAUCCUUCGAGGCACAGGAUGGCCCACCCACAACAAAAAAAUGAUCUGGCCCCAAAUGUCAACAGUGCUGAGGUUGAGAGCCCGGAAGAGACUGUCCUCUUGAUCGCAGUCACACUCCCGUCACACUGCCAUUUACCAGGCGAUCUCUCUGUGACCACACGGCGCCUGCGUUAUCUCUUGCAGCCUCUCGCUACACUGGAAGGUAGGAAGCCACUGAGGCUGGAACUAAGGGAAUGUGGCCAUGAGUGGGGGACAGGGGAGAGAGAUGGGCUAGAGGGCCCAGGGCCCUCUAGGUAAGGCUUGGGAUUUUAUUCCAAGUCAACUAGGAAGGCUUCCAAGGUUCUAAUAUGCAUUUUCAAAAGAUCACAGUAGCCCCAAAGCAGCUCUUCUCCCUACCCCAAAUGAUAGAUUCAGGAUAUAUUUUCGAGGAUGAAUCAAAACAACUUGCCAACGUAUUGGGCAUGGGGGAAGGGACGGGAGGAGACCUAGAGGGCUCCUAGGUUUGGAGCCUAUGCAACCAGUUACAUGGAAACUGUUCUCAGUUGAAAGGGCUCAGUUUAGGGGUCAGACAGGCCCAGAUUUUAAUCCUCAACCUCUUCAAGCCUCAGUUUUCUGUUCUGAAAAAUGGGAGCAAAUGACAGGUGCACAUAACGGGUAUUAAUUAUAGCUUGUCCUUUGACCAAAGAGUUUACAGAUAUCUAGAAAAAUAGUAUUCUGUUUGAGGUCACAUUGCUAGACUAAGCAACUCUAAGUUUUAUCAGACAGAAAAACAAGAAAACAAAGAAAGGGGUUCUGGAGGCUGACCUAACACCCAGUUCAAAUCUGGGCUCUGAGCCUCACCUUCUUACCGGUAAAGUAGAAAUAUGUCAUCUUGCUACCCCAAAACUGGGUUCGCCUCUCGUUGGGUGUUGAGCCAAAAGAAACAACCAAGCCAAAGAAAGGAAGAAGGAAGGAUUUAUCACUUACAACAAGUAAGGAGAACACUGGGGAUUUUUCCCAAAGCAGUGUCUCCCCAACAGCAAAAUUGGGGAAGUUUUAAGCUAAAGGUACAUGCAUAUUUAUGAAGGGGCCUGGGCAGUCCAAACUUUAGUUGAUUGAAGUCAGGAGGGUCAACAUCACCAUUCCCUCUUCCACCUGGGUGGGGGCCUUAGUUCCUGCAGAAUGCAAAAACAUAAUCAGAUUGUUACGUAUCCCCUUGAGGAGGAACUGGGACUGUUUUAUCACUGAGCUAUAUUGUUUCAUGGCUGCUUUUCCUUUGUUCUGCAUUCCGUCACCUCCCUUAAGGUCACUGAUUACUGAGACCUGUUCAAGGGCAAGCUUUGUGCCCCAGGCUUAGAUCACAAAAUGAUUUAGGCCAAAAAUGGCUUCUUUUAUGUCAAGAAAGCCAUGCCCGGUUCUCCCUAUCCGGGACCCCUUACCCUAUCUGCCUACAAUUUCUAUCUCCUGAGCCUGAGCUGAUUGAAUGAGAUUUGCAUGUUGAGCAGCUAACACAGUGCCUGUCACAUAAUUGCACUCAGGAAAUGAGGGGAGUGUGGGACGCAACAAGACACCAUCCUGACCUCUAAGCCCCCAUCUUCUGCUGGGGACAUGUACCAGCUACAACAUGGAGAAUGACAUCAAUUAUGUAGUAGUUUCAUCUGUGGUCUGACAUCAUCCCCCACAACCAUGCUGAAGUUUGUCAGUGUUUUGCAGAUGAGAAACAGCUCCAGAAAAGUGAAGGAAUCAGCCCCAAAGCCCACAUUUCAAAGCCUGGGGUUACAAACUGAUUUAGUGCAGCCUGCUAGGUUAGGAACACUUUCUGUGUUUUUAAGUGAAAGAAAAAAAUGUAUAAAAAGAAAAUUUUCUUGACACCUGAGAAUUACAAGAAAUUCAAAUCAGCUGCCAUAAACAAAGGCUUAUGGGAACACAGCCCCGCUCAUUAGUUUACCAUCCUCCAUGGUUGCUUUUGCUACAAGGGCAGAGUAGAAUAGUUGUGACAGAGAACGCCUGGUCUAGAAAGCCUAAAAUAUUUAUCAUCUGGCCCUUCUUAGAAAAAGUAUGCUGACCUCUGCUGGGAAGCACAGCUGCACUGCAACUGUUCUGCCCCCAAGGAUGCAGAAACGAUAAAUACCAUCCGAGAUAACCCAGGGUCCACCUGAAGGCUGCCAGGAGGGAAGAGUUUCAAAUCCGGAGAAGGAGCCCGAUCCUCCAUCACCGAGACUCUGAUUCCCACAAGCCCGGGCACAGCUAAUCUGACUCCCGUUCUGCGACCACCCUGCCAUGGUGCUGUCAGGAGCCCACAGUCCUCAUCAGAAAACUGCUGAUUCUCAGCCUCUUCUCUGCACGUUCUCUUCCCCUUCCUGGCCUGAAACCUGCCCUCCCCUGCCCACCACCCCAGGACCCUGUUCCCUUACUGUCCCCUCAAGGGAAGCUGUUAAUUUUCCCAGGUACUCUCGGUAGAUCAGGGUCUAGGGGGUAAGGUCACUCCGUUGCUUUCUCCUUGUGGAGCUUUGCAA
Aethalodelphis obliquidens (Pacific white-sided dolphin) is the source of this 5772-nucleotide long non-coding RNA. RefSeq lists it as uncharacterized. The transcript is spliced from 2 exons. The record is from RefSeq and is a predicted model, not a curated record. Lineage: Eukaryota; Metazoa; Chordata; Mammalia; Artiodactyla; Delphinidae.